GCCAGUGUGGCUCAGUGGUUGAGCAUUGGCCUAUGAACUGGGAGGUCCUGGUUCGAUUCCAGGCCAGGGCA
RNAcentral lists this transfer RNA (71 nucleotides) under Myotis lucifugus (little brown bat). It matches the Rfam family "tRNA". From Rfam's summary of the family: Transfer RNA (tRNA) molecules are approximately 80 nucleotides in length. Their secondary structure includes four short double-helical elements and three loops (D, anti-codon, and T loops). The record is from Rfam by way of RNAcentral. Lineage: Eukaryota; Metazoa; Chordata; Mammalia; Chiroptera; Vespertilionidae.